GCACUGAUGACGAGCCCUAAAUAGGACGAAACAACCGUCCAGUGC
Molecule: non-coding RNA, 45 nt
Filed under: Echinostoma caproni
Lineage: Eukaryota; Metazoa; Platyhelminthes; Trematoda; Plagiorchiida; Echinostomatidae
Source: RNAcentral